Long non-coding RNA from Sander lucioperca (pikeperch), 371 nucleotides. RefSeq lists it as uncharacterized. The transcript has 2 exons. The record is from RefSeq and is a predicted model, not a curated record. NCBI's taxonomy places the organism in Eukaryota, Metazoa, Chordata, Actinopteri, Perciformes, Percidae.
GGUGCUGUCUGUUUUCCCUCUCCCUUGUUUUUGUUUUUGUCAUCUGUCUGCCGUGUGCUGAGUGGGUGUGGUGCUCCUGGUUCUCUCUCCCUCCUCGUCAGGACACCUGUGGCUUCCUACUCACCUGAGGCAUAUCCAGCAAUCACCGCUCCUGUCUUAAACCCCGGCUUUCCAACCAGUCUCUGCCAGAUUGUCCGUUCACCCAAGUGAUUCUUGCUUCAGCCCUGGAAGCCCAGUCUUCCUGCCUGAGCCAAAUUGUAUUUUGUUGGACCUGCCUCUCGCCUGUCUGCCCGCUCUCAGCCCCAGAGGAUUUCAAAGCACCUUCAUUACUUUUUGUGUUCAAUAAACCUCUAUACCUGUUCCAACCUUUU